GGACGGGUAGCUCAGUUGGUUAGAGCAUCGCGUUGACAUCGCGAAGGUCGUAGGUUCGAGCCCUAUCUCGUCCA
RNAcentral lists this transfer RNA (74 nucleotides) under Pseudomonadota bacterium. RNAcentral's name for it is "tRNA-Val". It matches the Rfam family "tRNA". From Rfam's summary of the family: Transfer RNA (tRNA) molecules are approximately 80 nucleotides in length. Their secondary structure includes four short double-helical elements and three loops (D, anti-codon, and T loops). Further hydrogen bonds mediate the characteristic L-shaped molecular structure. tRNAs have two regions of fundamental functional importance: the anti-codon, which is responsible for specific mRNA codon recognition, and the 3' end, to which the tRNAs corresponding amino acid is attached (by aminoacyl-tRNA synthetases). tRNAs cope with the degeneracy of the genetic code in two manners: having more than one tRNA (with a specific anti-codon) for a particular amino acid; and 'wobble' base-pairing, i.e. permitting non-standard base-pairing at the 3rd anti-codon position. Lineage: Bacteria; Pseudomonadati; Pseudomonadota. RNAcentral also lists the same sequence under 2 other names. The record is from RNAcentral.